UGACGUUAUCUAGAGAAUAAGUUCCGGCUAAUCUCGUGCCAGCAGCCGCGGUAAUACGAGAGGAACAAGCGUUAUUCGGUAUAACUGGGUUUAAAGAGCAUGAAGUCUGUUUGUUAAUUUUGUAUUCACAACACCAAGAUAUAACUUGGACGGAAUUCAAAACAACUAGCUUGAGUUAGGUAGAGGGAAAUAGUAUUCCUAAAGUAGGGCUGGAAUACUGAGAGAUUAGGAGGAGUACCGUAAGCGAAGGCAAUUUCCCAUCCCUAGACUGACGAUCAAAUGCGAAAGCAUAGGGAGCAAACAGGAUUAGAUACCCUGGUAGUCUAUGCUGUAAACUCUGAGUGCUAACCGUUGGUAUAUAAUUUCAGUGGUAAAGUGAAAACGUUAAGCACUCCACCUGGAAAGUACGAUCGCAAGAUUGAAACCUAAAGGAAUUGACGGGAGCUUAAACAAGCGGUGGAGCAUGUAGUUUAAUCCGACAAUACGCGUCAAAUCUUACCAGUUCUUGCAUACAAGGUUUAGUAGGUUUAGAGCCCAUAUUAAUACCUUGUACAGGUGUUGCAUGGCUGUCGUCAGCUCGUGUCGUGAGAUGUUAGGUUAAUUCCUAAAACGAGCGAAACCCUUAUCAUUAGUU
RNAcentral lists this ribosomal RNA (634 nucleotides) under uncultured organism. Its description in RNAcentral is "bacterial SSU rRNA". It matches the Rfam family "Bacterial small subunit ribosomal RNA", at positions 470 to 1116 of the family's 1533-position model. The record is from RNAcentral.